CCUACGGGUUGCAGCAGUGGGGAAUAUUGCACAAUGGGCGCAAGCCUGAUGCAGCCAUGCCGCGUGUAUGAAGAAGGCGCUAGGGUUGUAAAGUACUUUCAGUCGGGAGGAAGGCGUUGAUGCUAAUAUCAUCAACGAUUGACGUUACCGACAGAAGAAGCACCGGCUAACUCCGUGCCAGCAGCCGCGGUAAUACGGAGGCUGCAAGCGUUAAUCGGAAUUACUGGGCGUAAAGCGCACGCAGGCGGUUGAUUAAGUUAGAUGCGAAAUCCCCGGGCUUAACCUGGGAAUGGCAUCUAAGACUGGUCAGCUAGAGACUUGUAGAGGGGGGUAGAAUUCCAUGUGUAGCGGUGAAAUGCGUAGAGAUGUGGAGGAAUACCAGUGGCGAAGGCGGCCCCCUGGACAAAGACUGACGCUCAAGUGCGAAAGCGUGGGGAGCAAACAGGAUUAGAUACCCGCGUAGUC
This 465-nucleotide ribosomal RNA is filed under the name uncultured bacterium. RNAcentral describes it as "bacterial SSU rRNA". It matches the Rfam family "Bacterial small subunit ribosomal RNA", at positions 338 to 795 of the family's 1533-position model. The record is from RNAcentral.